This 253-nucleotide ribosomal RNA is filed under the name uncultured bacterium. RNAcentral's name for it is "partial 16S ribosomal RNA". It matches the Rfam family "Bacterial small subunit ribosomal RNA", at positions 524 to 776 of the family's 1533-position model. The record is from RNAcentral.
UACGGGGGGGGCAAGCGUUGUUCGGAAUUACUGGGCGUAAAGGGCUCGUAGGUGGCCAACUAAGUCAGACGUGAAAUCCCUCGGCUUAACCGGGGAACUGCGUCUGAUACUGGAUGGCUUGAGAUUGGGAGAGGGAUGCGGAAUUCCAGGUGUAGCGGUGAAAUGCGUAGAUAUCUGGAGGAACACCGGUGGCGAAGGCGGCAUCCUGGACCAACACUGACACUGAGGAGCGAAGGUAUGGGGAGCAAAUAGG